UACGAAAUAGAGCAGAUUGGUAGCUCGUUGGGCUCAUAACUCAAAGGUCAAUGGUUCAAGUCCAUUUUUCAUAA
RNAcentral lists this transfer RNA (74 nucleotides) under Pteridomonas sp. YPF1301. RNAcentral describes it as "tRNA-fMet". It matches the Rfam family "tRNA". Rfam says of the family: Transfer RNA (tRNA) molecules are approximately 80 nucleotides in length. Their secondary structure includes four short double-helical elements and three loops (D, anti-codon, and T loops). The record is from RNAcentral. Lineage: Eukaryota; Dictyochophyceae; Pedinellales.